This is a long non-coding RNA of Onthophagus taurus, 417 nucleotides long. RefSeq lists it as uncharacterized. NCBI's taxonomy places the organism in Eukaryota, Metazoa, Arthropoda, Insecta, Coleoptera, Scarabaeidae. The record is from RefSeq and is a predicted model, not a curated record.
CUUUGAAACUUAAUCAAAAUUUUAUUUUAAAAUGUUGAUUUUAGUUCCUCUUUGUGAGAUAAUCUUAUUCUUUUCGAUAUCAACUUUGGGGAUAUUGAGGUCUCGCAAAAAAAUAAAAGGUAAAAAGAGAAUUUAAUAAAUUAAAAAUCAAUAUACAUUAUGUACAACAUUAAAAUAGAUUUAAAUUACGAAUUUUUUAACCAAAACUCUUUGAUUAAAUCGGACCCUUUCUCCCCAAUCAUAAUAAUUGGCGCGUUUGUGUUGGCACUAACCAAAGUAGGCAUUAUGGAGCCAUCAAUCACCCUGAGGCCUUUAACACCAUAAACUCUCAGUUGAGGAUCGACAACGGCUUCUCUAUCCCAAUAAGGACCCAUUUUUGCUGUACCAACCUAAAAAUAUAAUUUAUUCAGGAUUUAA